AAUAUUAGACCAUGGGGGCAACCCUGAUCCAGCCAUGCCGCCUUUGUGAAGAAGGUUUUCGGAUUGUAAAGCACUUUCAGUUGGGAGGAAGGGCAUUAGGUUAAUACUCUGAAGUGUUGGAAUUACCAACAGAAUAAGCACCGGCUGAGUCUGUACCAGCAGCCGCGGAAAUACAGAGGGUGCAAGCGUGAAUUGGAAUUACUGGGCGUAAAGCGCGCGUUGGUGGUUUAUUAAGAUGGGUUGGAAAUCCACGGGCUUAACCUGGGAACUGCUUUCAUAACUGCUGAGCUAGAGUACGGUAGAGGGUAGUGUAAUUUCCUGUGUAGCGGUGAAAUGCGUAGAUAUAGGAAGGAACACCAGUGGCGAAGGCGACUACCUGGACUGAUAAUGACACUGAGGUGCGAAAGCGUGGGGAGCAAAC
Molecule: ribosomal RNA, 421 nt
Filed under: uncultured bacterium
Lineage: Bacteria
Description: partial 16S ribosomal RNA
Rfam family: Bacterial small subunit ribosomal RNA
Source: RNAcentral